RNAcentral lists this ribosomal RNA (1511 nucleotides) under metagenome. RNAcentral's name for it is "bacterial SSU rRNA". It matches the Rfam family "Bacterial small subunit ribosomal RNA". The record is from RNAcentral.
GUUUGAUCAUGGCUCAGAUUGAACGCUGGCGGCAGGCCUAACACAUGCAAGUCGAACGGUAACAGGAAACAGCUUGCUGUUUCGCUGACGAGUGGCGGACGGGUGAGUAAUGUCUGGGAAACUGCCUGAUGGAGGGGGAUAACUACUGGAAACGGUAGCUAAUACCGCAUAACGUCGCAAGACCAAAGAGGGGGACCUUCGGGCCUCUUGCCAUCGGAUGUGCCCAGAUGGGAUUAGCUAGUAGGUGGGGUAACGGCUCACCUAGGCGACGAUCCCUAGCUGGUCUGAGAGGAUGACCAGCCACACUGGAACUGAGACACGGUCCAGACUCCUACGGGAGGCAGCAGUGGGGAAUAUUGCACAAUGGGCGCAAGCCUGAUGCAGCCAUGCCGCGUGUAUGAAGAAGGCCUUCGGGUUGUAAAGUACUUUCAGCGGGGAGGAAGGGAGUAAAGUUAAUACCUUUGCUCAUUGACGUUACCCGCAGAAGAAGCACCGGCUAACUCCGUGCCAGCAGCCGCGGUAAUACGGAGGGUGCAAGCGUUAAUCGGAAUUACUGGGCGUAAAGCGCACGCAGGCGGUUUGUUAAGUCAGAUGUGAAAUCCCCGGGCUCAACCUGGGAACUGCAUCUGAUACUGGCAAGCUUGAGCCUCGUAGAGGUGGGUAGAAUUCCAGGUGUAGCGGUGAAAUGCGUAGAGAUCUGGAGGAAUACCGGUGGCGAAGGCGGCCCCCUGGACGAAGACUGACGCUCAGGUGCGAAAGCGUGGGGAGCAAACAGGAUUAGAUACCCUGGUAGUCCACGCCGUAAACGAUGUCGACUUGGAGGUUGUGCCCUUGAGGCGUGGCUUCCGGAGCUAACGCGUUAAGUCGACCGCCUGGGGAGUACGGCCGCAAGGUUAAAACUCAAAUGAAUUGACGGGGGCCCGCACAAGCGGUGGAGCAUGUGGUUUAAUUCGAUGCAACGCGAAGAGCCUUACCUGGUCUUGACAUCCACGGAAGUUUUCAGAGAUGAGAAUGUGCCUUCGGGAACCGUGAGACAGGUGCUGCAUGGCUGUCGUCAGCUCGUGUUGUGAAAUGUUGGGUUAAGUCCCGCAACGAGCGCAACCCUUAUCCUUUGUUGCCAGCGGUCCGGCCGGGAACUCAAAGGAGACUGCCAGUGAUAAACUGGAGGAAGGUGGGGGUGACGUCAAGUCAUCAUGACCCUUACGACCAGGGCUACACACGUGCUACAAUGGCGCAUACAAAGAGAAGCGACCUCGCGAGAGCAAGCGGACCUCAUAAAGUGCGUCGUAGUCCGGAUUGGAGUCUGCAACUCGACUCCAUGAAGUCGGAAUCGCUAGUAAUCGUGGAUCAGAAUGCCACGGUGAAUACGUUCCCGGGCCUUGUACACACCGCCCGUCACACCAUGGGAGUGGGUUGCAAAAGAAGUAGGUAGCUUAACCUUCGGGAGGGCGCUUACCACUUUGUGAUUCAUGACUGGGGUGAAGUCGGAACAAGGUAACCGUAGGGGGACC